AACGAACGCUGGCGGCAUGCCUAACACAUGCAAGUCGAACGAGACCUUCGGGUCUAGUGGCGCACGGGUGCGUAACGCGUGGUAACCUGCCCUUAGGUUCGGAAUAACUCCCCGAAAGGGGUGCUAAUACCGGAUAAUGUCUUCGGACCAAAGAUUUAUCGCCUUUGGAUGGGCCCGCGUUGGAUUAGCUAGUUGGUAGGGUAAAAGCCUACCAAGGCGACGAUCCAUAGCUGGUCUGAGAGGAUGAUCAGCCACACUGGGACUGAGACACGGCCCAGACUCCUACGGGAGGCAGCAGUGGGGAAUAUUGGACAAGGGGCGAAAGCCUGAUCCAGCAAUGCCGCGUGAGUGAUGAAGGCCUUAGGGUUGUAAAGCUCUUUUAGCCGGGAUGAUAAUGACAGUACCGGGAGAAUAAGCUCCGGCUAACUCCGUG
This 433-nucleotide ribosomal RNA is filed under the name uncultured bacterium. RNAcentral's name for it is "partial 16S ribosomal RNA". It matches the Rfam family "Bacterial small subunit ribosomal RNA", at positions 29 to 507 of the family's 1533-position model. The record is from RNAcentral.